This 1372-nucleotide ribosomal RNA is filed under the name uncultured bacterium. RNAcentral's name for it is "bacterial SSU rRNA". It matches the Rfam family "Bacterial small subunit ribosomal RNA", at positions 28 to 1381 of the family's 1533-position model. The record is from RNAcentral.
GAUGAACGCUGGCGGCGUGCCUAAUACAUGCAAGUCGAGCGAACGGACGAGAAGCUUGCUUCUCUGAUGUUAGCGGCGGACGGGUGAGUAACACGUGGAUAACCUACCUAUAAGACUGGGAUAACUUCGGGAAACCGGAGCUAAUACCGGAUAAUAUUUUGAACCGCAUGGUUCAAAAGUGAAAGACGGUCUUGCUGUCACUUAUAGAUGGAUCCGCGCUGCAUUAGCUAGUUGGUAAGGUAACGGCUUGCCAAGGCAACGAUGCAUAGCCGACCUGAGAGGGUGAUCGGCCACACUGGAACUGAGACACGGUCCAGACUCCUACGGGAGGCAGCAGUAGGGAAUCUUCCGCAAUGGGCGAAAGCCUGACGGAGCAACGCCGCGUGAGUGAUGAAGGUCUUCGGAUCGUAAAACUCUGUUAUUAGGGAAGAACAUAUGUGUAAGUAACUGUGCACAUCUUGACGGUACCUAAUCAGAAAGCCACGGCUAACUACGUGCCAGCAGCCGCGGUAAUACGUAGGUGGCAAGCGUUAUCCGGAAUUAUUGGGCGUAAAGCGCGCGUAGGCGGUUUUUUAAGUCUGAUGUGAAAGCCCACGGCUCAACCGUGGAGGGUCAUUGGAAACUGGAAAACUUGAGUGCAGAAGAGGAAAGUGGAAUUCCAUGUGUAGCGGUGAAAUGCGCAGAGAUAUGGAGGAACACCAGUGGCGAAGGCGACUUUCUGGUCUGUAACUGACGCUGAUGUGCGAAAGCGUGGGGAUCAAACAGGAUUAGAUACCCUGGUAGUCCACGCCGUAAACGAUGAGUGCUAAGUGUUAGGGGGUUUCCGCCCCUUAGUGCUGCAGCUAACGCAUUAAGCACUCCGCCUGGGGAGUACGACCGCAAGGUUGAAACUCAAAGGAGUUGACGGGGACCCGCACAAGCGGUGGAGCAUGUGGUUUAAUUCGAAGCAACGCGAAGAACCUUACCAAAUCUUGACAUCCUUUGACAACUCUAGAGAUAGAGCCUUCCCCUUCGGGGGACAAAGUGACAGGUGGUGCAUGGUUGUCGUCAGCUCGUGUCGUGAGAUGUUGGGUUAAGUCCCGCAACGAGCGCAACCCUUAAGCUUAGUUGCCAUCAUUAAGUUGGGCACUCUAAGUUGACUGCCGGUGACAAACCGGAGGAAGGUGGGGAUGACGUCAAAUCAUCAUGCCCCUUAUGAUUUGGGCUACACACGUGCUACAAUGGACAAUACAAAGGGCAGCGAAACCGCGAGGUCAAGCAAAUCCCAUAAAGUUGUUCUCAGUUCGGAUUGUAGUCUGCAACUCGACUACAUGAAGCUGGAAUCGCUAGUAAUCGUAGAUCAGCAUGCUACGGUGAAUACGUUCCCGGGUCU